UCUCUCUCUCUCUCUCUCUCUCUCUAUUCAAAAUCGCUCACCAUAAUCGAAAGUUUGCACCUUCUUGUCAAGAAAUCUGCUGCGCCACUGCGACUCUGAAAAUCCGGCGACGUCGUGUCUUCCUCUGGAAUCGACAUCCCUCACCAAUCAUCGUCACACACCGAGGUCUUCGCUUUCAAAUGAUCGCCUCUGCUUUUAGGAUUUCCGGCGAGGCUAGUUGGCGUCGUCGACCGAAUUCGGCGUGCGACCGACCAAGAAGUACGACAAGAGGAUGAUUGUUGAGAUCUACAAAUUGAUUGUUGAUAUUUUUUUGUUUUAAUUAGCUAUAAUUCAUAUUUUAAUUGAUUUGUGAUUUUGGUCUGCAGCUUUGCGUCUGCACUGCUAUUUUUUUUUUGUCAAAUUGAAUGAGCAAUUUGGAAUUUUGGGGAUAUUCAUGCGUCAAUGGCCGGCGACCACUGCCCGAUUUUGAGAAGGAGGCUGUGGUCAACCAUGACUUUGAGAAGAUGGAGGGCAUGGAACGGCGGCCAAUCGCCGGUCUUCUAGAGGCGGCAAUUGGACUGGCUGUGGACGGAGUUCUCGAUCGAACUGGCUGUGGACAGAGUUUUCGUCAAAUUGAAUGAGCAAUUUUAGAAUUUAGGGGAUAUUCAUGCGUCCAGUAAAUCUGAAUAUAUCUGUUCAUUUAGAUAUUGUGUUCUGUUCAUUUAUAAAUUAUUUUCUGUUAAUUUA
Long non-coding RNA from Salvia miltiorrhiza (redroot sage), 726 nucleotides. RefSeq lists it as uncharacterized. The record is from RefSeq and is a predicted model, not a curated record. NCBI's taxonomy places the organism in Eukaryota, Viridiplantae, Streptophyta, Magnoliopsida, Lamiales, Lamiaceae. The transcript has 2 exons.